Long non-coding RNA from Lagopus muta (rock ptarmigan), 956 nucleotides. RefSeq lists it as uncharacterized. The record is from RefSeq and is a predicted model, not a curated record. NCBI's taxonomy places the organism in Eukaryota, Metazoa, Chordata, Aves, Galliformes, Phasianidae. The transcript is spliced from 5 exons.
CUCCUUGGGAGCAUUGGGAGUGAGUUCUGCCCUUUGGAAUGGGGUCUGUCAGCAGAAGGAGCAGCAACUGCACCUGGAGAUUGCUUCCUUUAGAGCGUGGGGUGAACCCUUGAAACUGGGACUGUGACCUUUCCUGUUUUUGGGGCAUCCUGACCACAUUGAAGUGCUGGCAGAUGUAAGGGCAGCAUUGAUCUCUGGAGACUGUCUCCUGUGGAGCAUGGGGCUGUUAUGCACUGCUUCCAACCAUGCAGAGUUGUUUAAGGGCGUUCUGUGCACCCUUAGGUGUAAUAAAUCUUCGUCUUUAUAGAAAGCCAAGGAUUGUCCUCUUCUGGACUGCUGUACUCAGCAUCACCCCAGCGUGAUGAAGUAAAGCCCCUGCUCUGCUGAAUACUAGGACUGGCCCAGAGACGCUCUGAUGGAUGUGGAUUACCCUAGCCAGAGUACUUGGUACCAUUGGUGGUGAUCUUGUCCAACUGCCACACAACGAACAGGAACAUCCACAGCCAGAUCAGGCUGCCCAGAGGCUGACCCAGCCUCACCUUGGAAGGGACAGGGCAUCCAUCACAUGUCUGGGUGUUGAAAGGCUGUUACCAGAUCACCUCGGAGCCUUCACUUCUGCAGGCUGAGCAGCUCCAGCUCUCUCUCUUUAUAGGAAAGGCGUUCCAUCCCUCAGUUCAUAUUUGUGGCCAUUCUCUGGAUGUUCUCCAACAGCUCCACGUCUGUCCUGCGCUGCGGACAUCCACAUCCAGAUGCAGCACCUCCAGGUGAGGCCUCACAGCGUAGAGCAGCGUAGGGCAGGACCAGCUCCCUUCGCCUGCUGACCACACAUCUUUGGAUGGAGCCCAGCGUACGGUUGGCUUUCUGGGCCAGGAAGGUACAUCGCUGAGUGCCACUACUCAGCCUGUUGAGGUCCCUCUGGAUGGCGUUGUUCCUCUAGUGUGUCACUGCACCCCACA